RNAcentral lists this ribosomal RNA (253 nucleotides) under uncultured bacterium. RNAcentral describes it as "partial 16S ribosomal RNA". It matches the Rfam family "Bacterial small subunit ribosomal RNA", at positions 524 to 776 of the family's 1533-position model. The record is from RNAcentral.
UACGUAGGGUGCAAGCGGUGUCCGGAUUUAUUGGGUUUAAAGGGUGCGUAGGUGGCUUUUUAAGUCAUGGGUGAAAGCCCGCAGCUCAAAUGUGGAAUUGCCUGUGAUACUGAGGAGCUUGAGUGCGGUUGAGGCAGCUGGAAUUGGUGGUGUAGCGGUGAAAUGCAUAGAUACCACCAGGAACACCGAUUGCGAAGGCAGGUCGCUAAGCCGUAACUGACAUUGAGGCACGAAAGCGUGGGGAGCAAACAGG